UAAAGUCAGCAUUUUUUAAAACCGGCGAGGAUGUUAGCACUGUUUUUAAGUUGUCCAUUGCGGUCUGUGCUUCAGGGGUCCACUCAAACUUUUUCUUUGUCGAUAAUACGUCCGUUAUGGGGCAAGUGAGAUCGGAAAAGUUGCAUAUAAACCGACGAUACCAACCGCAAACUCCUAGAAAUCCUCGAACUUGCUUCAAGUUUUUUGGCGGCGGCCAAUUUACAAUACAAGCUACUUUUUCCGGAUCUGUGCAAAUACCUCCGCUACCAAUCACGUAACCAAGAUAAUUGAUACUUGUUACACAGAAUUGACUUUUCGAAAUAUUUAAAGUCAAGUUGGCUUUUCUAAACUGCUCAGCGAUGCGAACCAAUACCGCCAGAUGUGAACUGAAAUCUUCGGACACAAUACACAGAUCAUCUAAAUAUCCAAACACGCAAUAGCGCAGGUCAGAAGGAAUUAUCUCGUCCAUUAACCGACACAUGGUAGAAGGCGCGUUACAAAGGCCAAAGGGCAUGACCUUAAACUGAUAUAGCGGUCUUCCGGGGACCGUAAAAGCAGUGAGAGGCUUUGAAUCCUCGGAAAGUUCUAUUUGCCAAUAGGCGUCUUUCAAAUCUAGUUUGGAAAUUAUAUUCGCCUUAGGUAGCCGCGAAAAAAUGCCAUCGAUGCUCGGCAAAGGAUAAGCAUCUUUUUUUGUGGCGUCAUUCAGUCUUCGAGCAUCCAGACAAAGGCGAACCUUGUUGGGCUUAAGGACGAGUCGCAUAGGCGAGCUCCAGGCGCUUACCGACGGCUCAAUAACUCCAAGCUGCAACAUGCGAUCAAUUUCUGCAUAUAACAACUUUUCUACGGCCGGACUUACAGGAUAGAAUCUUUGUUUCACUGGACGUGCGUCUCCUAUAUCUAUACGGUGUUGGAUCAAUGUUGUGCGGCCUAAUCUAUCAACAGCGUUGGGGAACAACUGCUUUACUACGUGCAGCUGUUGCGUUUGCUGGCUAUCUAAAGGAAUUUAUAAUGCUUGGUGCGAGCUCAAAGGCUCUCCAAAAAUCAUGACCCAAAAUUAGAUUUUGGUUUAUAGAAGGAAUCACAUACAGUUUCAAGGACUUGGUAGCCGAUUUAUACUGCAUUUUAACUUCAAGCACUCCGAUGACUUUCUGACUAUGGCCAUCUGCUGUUCUGACAUGCGAUUUAAUAGGCUUAAAUUCCGGCAUUACGACCAAGCUCGGUAAAGGUUAAAAACGACACUUCGGCAUAGCUGCGCAUAUCGGUGGGAUUGCAAAAAACGGUCGAAACUAAAAGCUUGCUAUGUUGCUUGAUUUUUGAAUAAUAAUUUUUCAAGCGCUGCGUACGCUGAGAAAUACGGGGUUUUUC
This is a long non-coding RNA of Drosophila novamexicana, 1365 nucleotides long. RefSeq lists it as uncharacterized. The record is from RefSeq and is a predicted model, not a curated record. NCBI's taxonomy places the organism in Eukaryota, Metazoa, Arthropoda, Insecta, Diptera, Drosophilidae. The transcript is spliced from 3 exons.